CUACGUAGGGUGCGAGCGUUAAUCGGAAUUACUGGGCGUAAAGCGUGCGCAGGCGGUUUUGUAAGACAGAGGUGAAAUCCCCGGGCUCAACCUGGGAACUGCCUUUGUGACUGCAAGGCUAGAGUACGGCAGAGGGGGAUGGAAUUCCGCGUGUAGCAGUGAAAUGCGUAGAUAUGCGGAGGAACACCGAUGGCGAAGGCAAUCCCCUGGGCCUGUACUGACGCUCAUGCACGAAAGCGUGGGGAGCAAACAGGAUUAGAUACCCUGGUAGUCCACGCCCUAAACGAUGUCAACUGGUUGUUGGGUCUUCAUUGACUCAGUAACGAAGCUAACGCGUGAAGUUGACCGCCUGGGGAGUACGGCCGCAAGGUUGAAACUCAAAUGAAUUGGCGGGG
Molecule: ribosomal RNA, 395 nt
Filed under: uncultured bacterium
Lineage: Bacteria
Description: partial 16S ribosomal RNA
Rfam family: Bacterial small subunit ribosomal RNA
Source: RNAcentral